UGGGGAAUAUUGGACAAUGGGCGAAAGCCUGACACAGCAACGCCGCGUGAAGGAUGAAGUCCCUCGGUAUGUAAACUUCGAAAGAAUAGGAAGAAUAAAUGACGGUACUAUUUAUAAGGUCCGGCUAACUACGUGCCAGCAGCCGCGGUAAUACGUAGGGACCAAGCGUUGUUCGGAUUUACUGGGCGUAAAGGGCGCGUAGGCGGCAAUUCAAGUCAUCUGUGAAAUCUCCGGGCUUAACUUGGAACGGUCAGAUGAUACUGCUUUGCUAGAGUGCAGAAGGGGCAAUCGGAAUUCUUGGUGUAGCGGUGAAAUGCGUAGAUAUCAAGAGGAACACCUGAGGUGAAGACGGGUUGCUGGGCUGACACUGACGCUGAGGCGCGAAAGCAUGGGGAGCAAACAGGAUUAGAUACCCUUGUAGUCCCUGAGCGGGCUGGCAAGGCGCAU
This 447-nucleotide ribosomal RNA is filed under the name uncultured bacterium. RNAcentral's name for it is "bacterial SSU rRNA". It matches the Rfam family "Bacterial small subunit ribosomal RNA", at positions 355 to 825 of the family's 1533-position model. The record is from RNAcentral.